UACGGAGGAUGCGAGCGUUAUCCGGAAUGAUUGGGCGUAAAGCGUCCGCAGGUGGCAAUGUAAGUCUGCUGUCAAAGCGUCUGGCUCAACCAGAUAAAGGCAGUGGAAACUACAUAGCUAGAGUAAGGUAGGGGUAGAGGGAGUUCCUGGUGUAGCGGUGAAAUGCGUAGAGAUCAGGAAGAACACCGGUGGCGAAAGCGCUCUGCUGGACCUUAACUGACACUGAGGGACGAAAGCUAGGGGAGCGAAUGGG
This 253-nucleotide ribosomal RNA is filed under the name uncultured bacterium. RNAcentral's name for it is "partial 16S ribosomal RNA". It matches the Rfam family "Bacterial small subunit ribosomal RNA", at positions 524 to 776 of the family's 1533-position model. The record is from RNAcentral.